RNAcentral lists this ribosomal RNA (415 nucleotides) under Staphylococcus aureus. RNAcentral describes it as "partial 23S ribosomal RNA". It matches the Rfam family "Bacterial large subunit ribosomal RNA", at positions 922 to 1341 of the family's 2925-position model. Lineage: Bacteria; Bacillati; Bacillota; Bacilli; Caryophanales; Staphylococcaceae. The record is from RNAcentral.
GGGGCCCCUCUCGGGUUACCGAAUUCAGACAAACUCCGAAUGCCAAUUAAUUUAACUUGGGAGUCAGAACAUGGGUGAUAAGGUCCGUGUUCGAAAGGGAAACAGCCCAGACCACCAGCUAAGGUCCCAAAAUAUAUGUUAAGUGGAAAAGGAUGUGGCGUUGCCCAGACAACUAGGAUGUUGGCUUAGAAGCAGCCAUCAUUUAAAGAGUGCGUAAUAGCUCACUAGUCGAGUGACACUGCGCCGAAAAUGUACCGGGGCUAAACAUAUUACCGAAGCUGUGGAUUGUCCUUUGGACAAUGGUAGGAGAGCGUUCUAAGGGCGUUGAAGCAUGAUCGUAAGGACAUGUGGAGCGCUUAGAAGUGAGAAUGCCGGUGUGAGUAGCGAAAGAUGGGUGAGAAUCCCGUCCACCGAU